CUUGUAAAUCAGACAGUCGCAUGAAAAUGAGGAAAGUCCGUGCUCCACAGAGCGAGGGUGCUGGAUAACGUCCAGUGGGGGCGACCCUAAGGAUAGUGCAACAGAAAUAAACCGCCAAUUAAAAUUGGUAAGGAUGGAAAGGCGAGGUAAGAGCUCACCGGCGUUUAGGCGACUAAACGGCCCUGUAAACCCCACCCGGAGCAAGACCAAAGCGAGUCAAAAGGCCUUUGCUCGAGGCUUCUCGAAAGGUAGGUUGCUGGAAGAUAUAGGUAACUAUAUCUCAAGAUAGAUGACUGUCAAAUACAGAACACGGCUUAUAGAUUUACUAAAAAA
Molecule: RNase P RNA, 333 nt
Filed under: Tissierellia bacterium
Lineage: Bacteria; Bacillati; Bacillota; Tissierellia
Description: RNase P RNA component class A
Rfam family: Bacterial RNase P class A
About the family: Ribonuclease P (RNase P) is a ubiquitous endoribonuclease, found in archaea, bacteria and eukarya as well as chloroplasts and mitochondria. Its best characterised activity is the generation of mature 5'-ends of tRNAs by cleaving the 5'-leader elements of precursor-tRNAs. Cellular RNase Ps are ribonucleoproteins.
Source: RNAcentral